This 328-nucleotide ribosomal RNA is filed under the name Dirofilaria repens. Its description in RNAcentral is "partial 12S ribosomal RNA". Lineage: Eukaryota; Metazoa; Nematoda; Chromadorea; Rhabditida; Onchocercidae. The record is from RNAcentral.
GUUCCAGAAUAAUUGGCUAUACAUUUUAAUUUUUAACUCUAUUUGUUGUUAUAUUACUUUUUUUUAUUCUUUUUUAUGUUUUUUUUUGUAAAAUGUUUUGAUUUUUUUGUAUUUUUUUGUAAUAUUUAAAAUUUGUUUUUUGAACUGGAUUAGUACCCAGGUAAUCAAAGUUUAUUAAUUCGGGAGUAAAGUUUUGUUUAAACCGAAAAAAUAUUGACUGACUUUAGAUUUUUCUUUGGAAUAUGUGUUUUUGGAGAGCCCUCUUUUUUGGUGAAUUUUAUUGGCACAUGUAUGAUUGUUUAGUUUUUAUGUUAUUUGUGUUGCUUUU